This 72-nucleotide transfer RNA is filed under the name Manacus vitellinus (golden-collared manakin). It matches the Rfam family "tRNA". From Rfam's summary of the family: Transfer RNA (tRNA) molecules are approximately 80 nucleotides in length. Their secondary structure includes four short double-helical elements and three loops (D, anti-codon, and T loops). The record is from Rfam by way of RNAcentral. Lineage: Eukaryota; Metazoa; Chordata; Aves; Passeriformes; Pipridae.
CCCCUGGUGGUCUGGUGGUCAGGAUGUGGGGCUCUCACCGCCGCCGCCCGGGUUCCAUUCCCGGUCAGGGAA